GUUUACCUAAUCAAGCCUGGGCAAUGGCGGGUGCCCCUCCUCCAGCCUCGCUGCCGCCUUGCAGUUUGAUCUCAGACUGCUGUGCUAGCAAUCAGCGAGACUCCGUGGGCGUAGGACCCUCUGAGCCAGGUGUGGGAUAUAAUCUCGUGGUGCGCCGUUUUUUAAGCCCGUCGGAAAAGCACAGUAUUCGGGUGGGAGUGACCCGAUUUUCCAGUUUCAAACAUCUUCAAGGCAGAAACGUGUUGUAUUUGCAUGCUGUUUAGAAGGCAGUGUACUGAAUAGUACCAGUUUUUUCAGAGACAAAUAUGGUGUACUUAUUUGAAAAGAAAGGAUGAUACACAUACAUAGCCAUCCAAAAAAUCCUGCAACCAGUAGCAAAUUAUAUUACACAUUGGACACAUCCUAAAUGAUGCAAGGUUGCUAAUUCUCUCUGUUGGUAAUAUCUUUUGAUGCUGUUGUGUCCAGAAUUGAUUCAUUCCUGUGGGUUCUUGGUCUCACUGACUUCAAGAAUAAAGCUGCGGACCCUAGUGUUUCCUGAGGCCUCACUAGAAGCAAAUGCUGGUGCCGUACUUCU
This is a long non-coding RNA of Homo sapiens (human), 574 nucleotides long. Ensembl annotates it as ncRNA involved in NHEJ oncogenic ligation efficiency. Its record names the gene NIHCOLE. Lineage: Eukaryota; Metazoa; Chordata; Mammalia; Primates; Hominidae. The record is from Ensembl.